Molecule: ribosomal RNA, 440 nt
Filed under: uncultured bacterium
Lineage: Bacteria
Description: partial 16S ribosomal RNA
Rfam family: Bacterial small subunit ribosomal RNA
Source: RNAcentral
CCUACGGGUGGCAGCAGUGGGGAAUAUUGCACAAUGGGGGAGACCCUGAUGCAGCGACGCCGCGUGAAGGAAGAAGUAUUUCGGUGUGUAAACUUCUAUCAGCAGGGAAGAAAAUGACGGUACCUGACUAAGAAGCCCCGGCUAACUACGUGCCAGCAGCAGCGGUAAUACGUAGGGGGCAAGCGUUAUCCGGAUUUACUGGGUGUAAAGGGAGCGUAGGCGGCGUUGCAAGUCAGAAGUGAAAGCCCGGGGCUCAACCCCGGGACUGCUUUUGAAACUGUGUUGCUAGAUUGCAGGAGAGGUAAGUGGAAUUCGUGGUGUAGCGGUGAAAUGCGUAGAUAUCAGGAGGAACACCAGUGGCGAAGGCGGCUUACUGGACUGCAAAUGACGCUGAGGCUCGAAAGCGUGGGGAGCAAACAGGAUUAGAUACCCGGGUAGUC